RNAcentral lists this ribosomal RNA (480 nucleotides) under uncultured bacterium. RNAcentral describes it as "partial 16S ribosomal RNA". It matches the Rfam family "Bacterial small subunit ribosomal RNA", at positions 30 to 507 of the family's 1533-position model. The record is from RNAcentral.
AUUGAACGCUGGCGGAAUGCUUUACACAUGCAAGUCGAACGGUAGAGGGGGCAACCCCUUGAGAGUGGCGAACGGGUGAGUAAUAUAUCGGAACGUGCCCAGUCGUGGGGGAUAACGUAGCAAAAGUUACGCUAAUACCGCAUACGAUCUAAGGAUGAAAGCGGGGGAUCGCAAGACCUCGCGCGACUGGAGCGGCCGAUAUCAGAUUAGGUAGUUGGUAGGGUAAAGGCCUACCAAGCCAACGAUCUGUAGCUGGUCUGAGAGGACGACCAGCCACACUGGAACUGAGACACGGUCCAGACUCCUACGGGAGGCAGCAGUGGGGAAUUUUGGACAAUGGGCGAAAGCCUGAUCCAGCCAUUCCGCGUGCAGGAUGAAGGCCCUCGGGUUGUAAACUGCUUUUGUACAGAACGAAAAGGUUUCUAUUAAUACUAGGAGCUCAUGACGGUACUGUAAGAAUAAGCACCGGCUAACUACGUG